GAUGAACGCUGGCGGCGUGCCUAAUACAUGCAAGUCGAGCGAACAGACGAGGAUCUUGCUCCUCUGACGUUAGCGGCGGACGGGUGAGUAACACGUGGAUAACCUACCUAUAAGACUGGGAUAACUUCGGGAAACCGGAGCUAAUACCGGAUAAUAUAUUGAACCGCAUGGUUCAAUAGUGAAAGACGGUUUUGCUGUCACUUAUACAUGGAUCCGCGCCGCAUUAGCUAGUUGGUAGGGUAACGGCUUACCAAGGCAACGAUGCGUAGCCGACCUGAGAGGGGGAUGGGGCACACUGGAACUGAGACACGGUCCAGACUCCUACGGGAGGCAGAAGUAGGGAAUCUUGCGAGAUGGGCGAAAGCUUGAAGGAGCAACGCCGCGUGAGUGAUGAAGGUCUUCGGAUCGUAAAACUCUGUUAUUAGGGAAGAACAAAUGUGUAAGUAACUAUGCACGUCUUGACGGUACCUAAUGAGAAAGCAACGGCUAACUACGUG
Molecule: ribosomal RNA, 497 nt
Filed under: uncultured bacterium
Lineage: Bacteria
Description: partial 16S ribosomal RNA
Rfam family: Bacterial small subunit ribosomal RNA
Source: RNAcentral